This 189-nucleotide ribosomal RNA is filed under the name uncultured Staphylococcus sp. RNAcentral describes it as "partial 16S ribosomal RNA". It matches the Rfam family "Bacterial small subunit ribosomal RNA", at positions 151 to 334 of the family's 1533-position model. Lineage: Bacteria; Bacillati; Bacillota; Bacilli; Caryophanales; Staphylococcaceae. The record is from RNAcentral.
GGGAAACCGGGGCUAAUACCGGAUAACACAUGAAACCGCAUGGUUUCAUGAUGAAAGACGGUUUUGCUGUCACUUAUAGAUGGACCCGCGGCGUAUUAGCUAGUUGGUAAGGUAACGGCUUACCAAGGCAACGAUACGUAGCCGACCUGAGAGGGUGAUCGGCCACACUGGAACUGAGACACGGUCCAG